GACGGUGGUUAUAGCGGUGGGGUAACGCCCGGUCCCAUUCCGAACCCGGAAGCUAAGCCUGCUAGCGCCGAUGGUACUGCACUUGUGAGGGUGUGGGAGAGUAGGACACUGCCGUCA
This 117-nucleotide ribosomal RNA is filed under the name Trueperella abortisuis. The record is from RNAcentral. Lineage: Bacteria; Bacillati; Actinomycetota; Actinomycetes; Actinomycetales; Actinomycetaceae. RNAcentral also lists the same sequence under 1 other name.